ACAGCUCAGUAGUAGGGCAUCUGCCUUGCAUGCAGAAGAUUCCAGGUUCAAUUCCCGGCAUCUCUA
This is a non-coding RNA of Podarcis lilfordi (Lilford's wall lizard), 66 nucleotides long. Lineage: Eukaryota; Metazoa; Chordata; Lepidosauria; Squamata; Lacertidae. The record is from the annotation of a GenBank genome assembly.